RNAcentral lists this long non-coding RNA (3178 nucleotides) under Homo sapiens (human). RNAcentral describes it as "HSALNT0065424". The record is from RNAcentral. Lineage: Eukaryota; Metazoa; Chordata; Mammalia; Primates; Hominidae.
CAGGAGGCUGAAGCACGAGAAUCGCUUGAACCCAGGAGGCAGAGGUUGCAGUAAGCCAAGACUGCACCACUGCUCUCCAGCCUGGGUGACAGAGUGAGACUCCGUCUCAAAAAAAGAAAAAAAAAAUUUUUUUUUUUGAAUAGGGAAUACUUUCGUGUGUUUCAGACUAAAAAAUUGAUUUUAUAUGUAUUUAUAAUUACACACAUAUACGUAUGCAGUAAAGUUUCAUUUUUACUUGUCCUUCAGCCACCAUUUCCUUUCCUCUUACACACUAAUAUUUUCAGUUUCUUAUUUAUCCUUCCAGUUAUUUUAUGGACAUACCAGUAAAUACACACAUAUAUUAAUAUAUCCAGUAUUUUCCCCAUCUCUUUUUUGCACAACCCCUUAAAUAUACUUAAAAUAAAACAGAACAACAAAUUUUUCGUAAACAAAAUUUAAUACAACCAUAUAGUCAAGUAAUAAUGGUUAAAAGACAUUUUAUUAGAUACAACUUUUAAAAAAUUAAACUAUGCAAGAAGUAUAUUUAAACAAAACAUGUAAGUAAGUAUUCACGUGCUACAACUUAACUAAGAACAAUUAAAUACAAAGCAUUCUUUCCACUAUGAAGACUCUGGAGCCUCUAAUUGAAAGCAAAUGACCUUAGGGAAGGGGAGAGUAAGUGCUUUUUCAAAAAGGUAAAUGAAAAAGCCUGAAGAGGGAAAAAAUUGUACAUAAGUAUGGAACAAAAAUAAGUAUACUUUUUUGACAUUCGAUGUAGAUACUGCAAAUGAAUUUACACGGGUUUAAUCAAUGUAAGAUAGAUAUUUGUCUGAAUAUUUUAAAAAGCACCUAGGUAUCAAAAAAUAAAAACAAAAAAUAUAAUGAAACUCCAAACAUCCAACAAUCUCCCUUAACAUUCUCAUUCUGCCAAGCAACCACACGUUGGUGCUUAUUACACAAUUUAAGAAGGGGAAGUUUAUUUACUCUAUAGGAAACAAAUAUGAACCUUAUCUAAGGUAAGCUUCAUUUAGAUUGAAAAAAAAGUUGAAAUAGCACUAGAGAACUUAAGGCACAUAAACAAAUUCAGGUGCAGUUAUUUUGAAACCAUUAAAACAAAUUCUUUUCUUUGGAACAAUAUAUAAAAUAAGUUAUGAAUGUUGCUGUUUUUAUCAGCACUAGGAAAAUUUAAUAUAAAAGGCACACACAAUUCAACUCCUCUCUUUUCAUAUAUGGGUUCUCACAGCAAUUUAAAAAAUCUAUUGCCAUAUCCAGACAACAGGAGAAAAAAAAAAUACCUGGUUUGCUUAUUGACAAAAGUGGUGUAAUUGAACCUUUGUCUUUCCUGAGUUUCAAAAAGGCUAUUUGACAGUAGAGAUACAUAAACAAUUCAUAUUCAGUAAGAUAAAAUGUAUCAGUCCACAAAACAUUUUCAUCUUUUUAAGUAUAAAAGAAUCAAUGUUCAACCACCACCAUGUGUGAAGCCCCUUUUUCCAAAUUAAACUUACUCUAGAAUCAUGAAUUGAAGAUUAUUCAGUCAUGGCACUUUACACCCCAAACGAGCAAAAGUAACAAGUUAAUACCCUCCCUGAGUAUUUACAUCAUCUUAUCACCUGGUUUAAAUGGAGUAAAUACCUAUAUUUCAAUCAUCUAGGAAAUAAAAAGGUUACUGAAGAUCCAAUACACUAGUAUUUCAUACCUGUGCAGUAAAGUCAGUGGGAAGAUUACAGUAGAAAAGGAGGAAGUUCUACUGUUGUAAAAAUUAGACCACUUUUGUAGCUGACUCACAUAGAGGAAAAACAGAAAAUGAUUAAAGUUCAUGAAAAAAAAACUAUACUUUUCUGUUCUACAAAGCAUACCUUUGAAUUCCCUUUCCAACUGAGGUAUCACAGCUGGGUUUAGCAAACUCAUCUCUUCUGACCUUGUAAAACUAAAUUGUCAUAAAGAUUCUGAUUAUACAUAAGUCAUCGUUACUAAUACUCAUCAUGUACUUUCAAAUGUAAAAAGUUCUAGAAAUGCCCAAAUAAAAAAAAAUUCCAGAAUUGAAUUUAGCAUGGUCAACUAAUUUUUACUUUAUGUGCUUUUUUGCUGAUCAUCACAGACUGCUAAAAUUCAUGGUGUUUGGUAUAUAUGUGUGUAUACAACCAUACUAUCUACAUACAUACACAUGUACAUAUAUAGAUUCUAAACCAAAGGUUCAUAUGAGCAUCACCUAUCAAAAGAAAAAUCUUUAUGUGAUGAGAGAAUGAAUACAAUCUGACACCAAUUUGGUUGAUAUACCCCUUUUGAUAUAUUAAUUCUACUCUAAAAUUCUUUUUUAUUUUAUCAAGUCUAAUGCUAUUAUUUAUCAAGAAUUAGUAAAGGAAGAUAAAUAUUAAAAAAUUAAAAUAUUAAGUUGGGUAACUUUAAAAAUAGUUAUUUAAAUUUUCUAAGAUUCAACCUAAGUUCUUGGUGGCCUUCAAUAUAAAUUUUAAGUACUUAAUUUAUGUAGUUUUAAAUUAUGUAGAGAAAAAAUUAAUAUUGGUGUGAGGUCUGUGUUUAAAAAAAUUCUGUUUUUCAGGAUUUCAUUUCAAAUUUACUAUAAUAAACACAUGGAUAUUAAAAUAAAUGUAUAACAAAAUAAAAGUAAAUAGUUAAUACUUUUUACAACAGAAAAAUACUAGAAUAUAAAGUUGUCUUGAGAAAGUCUUUUUUUAUGUGAAGUCCUAUAUUCAUGAAAUGGACAUGAUCUUACAAAUACACAUGAAAAUAACAACUAUCAUUUGUAGAAUCCUCAGCAUUUACAAAAUACUUUUUCACACAUUAUCUCAUUUACUGUAAAGAAUUUCUUAACUAAAUAAUUCUAUUAUCUAUAAGAGUAUAAUGCAGAUGUUUACUCUAAAAUUAAAGUACAAGUAUCCAAACUGUACCUACAUUCUUUCAACUAAGAGGAUAGAAAAUUGUUUUCUGAAUUGUUGUUAUCACAAAAUGGUAUCUAUCAUUUUAAAAUUAUGAUUUGAAAAAUAAAAAUUCCCUAAAAAUUUUUAAGUUUUUUAGAGUUUUCCUCAGAAUGUAGAUUCUAGCUAAGCAUUAAAGUUUAAAAAAUGUCUAUCUGAAAUCUCUGAAUCAUUCUAAAAUGAGAAAACAAUGUAGCUUACCAAUGUUAGGCUUUUUAUUUCAACCUUGGUUUUAACAGAAAUCUGGUGACACUUUAAUUACAUAU